UCCCAUAGGAGUAGUUGGGAAAUGUGACGGAAGUGCCACCUCUGUGGGCUGAAGCACACGGGACAGUUUUAAUGGCCCAGGAAGAGGUUUUGCCCCAGCUGCAGGCCCAUGCAGAGGGAAGAGAAACCAUGUGCCGCCGUGCAGAGUCCAACCCCGGCGGGGUCUCCUCUAUACGGGUGAACCACCAACCUACAGGGGAGUUGGCACAGACACAGCAUCGAAGCAAAGAAACUAGAGCUCUGGCCUCCGAGUGAGCUGAGAUUGGGCUGGACUCACGGCCCAAUCCUCGGUAAAACCUUGAGCCUGAGUUUCCUUGUUUAUAAAAUGGACAUCAUAGUACUUAGUACCUAUGAGGAAACUGACACAAAGCACAGCACUCGUUUAGUGCAGUGGUUGGC
Molecule: long non-coding RNA, 398 nt
Filed under: Ictidomys tridecemlineatus (thirteen-lined ground squirrel)
Lineage: Eukaryota; Metazoa; Chordata; Mammalia; Rodentia; Sciuridae
Description: lncRNA (ENSSTOG00000034650.1)
Source: RNAcentral